AUAAGGUACCCUACUGGAAUCUAAUUAGUGUAAAUAAAAAACUUUUACAAAGCUUUACCUUA
RNAcentral lists this transfer RNA (62 nucleotides) under Mesobuthus gibbosus (Mediterranean checkered scorpion). RNAcentral's name for it is "transfer RNA-Val". The record is from RNAcentral. Lineage: Eukaryota; Metazoa; Arthropoda; Arachnida; Scorpiones; Buthidae.